Long non-coding RNA from Solanum tuberosum (potato), 532 nucleotides. RefSeq lists it as uncharacterized. The transcript has 2 exons. The record is from RefSeq and is a predicted model, not a curated record. NCBI's taxonomy places the organism in Eukaryota, Viridiplantae, Streptophyta, Magnoliopsida, Solanales, Solanaceae.
AUAAUGAUAAGGAUCCUUUGUUUUCUUAAAACACAUACUCGUCUCAAACUUUCCCUUUCCUCAAAUCUCAACGCCGCAACUAUCUGACCUAAUCUCAGCGCCACAACUAUCUGAUCUAAUAUCAACGCCGCAAUUAUCUGAUCUAAUCUCAACGUUGAUUGUAGAUUUUCAUAGCAGCUCUGCCCUAAAUCGAAUCUGGUGUCUUCUUCCUUUCGUCAUUGCUUCUCAGCUGGAAAAGGAAUUCUAUUGCAGAUCUACUCGAAAAAUAAUUCCAGCUUUUAUUGAUGCUUUUGGAUAACACUUGAUGAAGAUUGAAACAUUAAAUUUUAUGCCCAACUUUUGUUCAUUCUUUAGUCAAGAAACAAGUUUUGAAAAGAUGCACAAGCUCAUUAUUAGUUUGCUACGAAUGUUAUGCAAAACUUCAUAUCAUAGUCUAGCUCGGAUGUUAGCUACAUUUUAUUGUCAAGCAAAUAUUACUGAAACUAUGAUCAUGGGAUGUGAACCUAUUAAUUAAUCAUACUCUUUAUAUCUA